GCCCUUAUAGCUCAGUGGCAGAGCGCUUCACUGUGAGUUAUUAUUAAUCCGAUCAAAUGUUUUAUCUUGUCCUAACAACCGCCUCAGUGUAUCCAUAUGACAUGAAGAGGUCCGUGGUUCAAUCCCGCGUGGGGGCA
Non-coding RNA from Aspergillus melleus, 137 nucleotides. NCBI's taxonomy places the organism in Eukaryota, Fungi, Ascomycota, Eurotiomycetes, Eurotiales, Aspergillaceae. The record is from the annotation of a RefSeq genome assembly.